This 85-nucleotide transfer RNA is filed under the name bacterium. Its description in RNAcentral is "tRNA-Leu". It matches the Rfam family "tRNA". Rfam says of the family: Transfer RNA (tRNA) molecules are approximately 80 nucleotides in length. Their secondary structure includes four short double-helical elements and three loops (D, anti-codon, and T loops). The record is from RNAcentral.
GCCCGGGUGGAGAAACGGGAGACUCGCAUCACUUAAAAUGAUGUGCUCAAAAGGCGUGUGGGUUCGAUUCCCACCCCGGGCACCA